This 236-nucleotide long non-coding RNA is filed under the name Mytilus galloprovincialis (Mediterranean mussel). Lineage: Eukaryota; Metazoa; Mollusca; Bivalvia; Mytilida; Mytilidae. The record is from RNAcentral.
CUUUUAUGUUGAGUUUGUGAGUAAGAGCCCCGGUUUACACAUCAAUAACCUCUAGAAAAAAUGUGUUUAAUCCUUAUAAUUCUUCAGCCAAACAUUUUUUUUGUUGAUGGCUACUAUAUAUAUUUACCAUCAAAAGCACAAUGGCAAGUCGUAACAAAGGAGUACGCCGCCAUCUUGACUUUCUAAAAACCAUAAAUGUCCGAUAAAUACAACGGAAUCUUAAAUGAAAUAGCACC